Haliotis rubra (blacklip abalone) is the source of this 248-nucleotide long non-coding RNA. RefSeq lists it as uncharacterized. The transcript has 3 exons. The record is from RefSeq and is a predicted model, not a curated record. Lineage: Eukaryota; Metazoa; Mollusca; Gastropoda; Lepetellida; Haliotidae.
GAAGUAAAUAACUGCAAUGUUUGUAUACAGGCACAUCAACCUCUGAAUGUUCUGCAUGAUUUGGCUGGGAGAAAUAUGCCAGAUAGAGUAAUUGGACUGGUCCCUCUGUUCACCAACAAGUUGUCUCAACGUCAGAUCGGAAUCAGUGCCUCAGGACUCAUGACCAUCACGAAGGACACUAUCUUAACGAUCAUCGGUACCCUCCUCACCUACGUUUUCAUUGUGAUCCAGUUUAAACCGGAAUCAAG